UAGGGAAUCUUCGGCAAUGGACGGAAGUCUGACCGAGCAACGCCGCGUGAGUGAAGAAGGUUUUCGGAUCGUAAAGCUCUGUUGUAAGAGAAGAACGAGUGUGAGAGUGGAAAGUUCACACUGUGACGGUAUCUUACCAGAAAGGGACGGCUAACUACGUGCCAGCAGCCGCGGUAAUACGUAGGUCCCGAGCGUUGUCCGGAUUUAUUGGGCGUAAAGCGAGCGCAGGCGGUUAGAUAAGUCUGAAGUUAAAGGCUGUGGCUUAACCAUAGUAGGCUUUGGAAACUGUUUAACUUGAGUGCAAGAGGGGAGAGUGGAAUUCCAUGUGUAGCGGUGAAAUGCGUAGAUAUAUGGAGGAACACCGGUGGCGAAAGCGGCUCUCUGGCUUGUAACUGACGCUGAGGCUCGAAAGCGUGGGGAGCAAACAGGAUUAGAUACCCUGGUAGUCCACGCUGUAAACGAUGAGUGCUAGGUGUUAGACCCUUUCCGGGGUUUAGUGCCGUAGCUAACGCAUUAAGCACUCCGCCUGGAGUACGACCGCAAGGUUG
RNAcentral lists this ribosomal RNA (548 nucleotides) under uncultured bacterium. RNAcentral's name for it is "bacterial SSU rRNA". It matches the Rfam family "Bacterial small subunit ribosomal RNA", at positions 355 to 896 of the family's 1533-position model. The record is from RNAcentral.